GUUUUGGACCCGUGUCUGUCGAUAGUUCCCCCGACUCCUCGUGUGGUCGACUAUCGACGCCGUGUCCCGUCAUUCGUGUGGCUUACGCCGCUGUUUCCUUUUGAAGUGCUUGCGUGCCGGUACCCGGCCUACGGGAAUUGGUGUGUUUCGUACAUGGUUGCCUCGCGGUGGACGCCUUCGGGUGUUCUGCUGCGGCCAAGUGGCUCUUGCGGCGUUGCCUCGUGGUGCUGGCACGAUUGCGUGUCCGGUGCUACCAGGGCAGCCUCGCUCGUGCUGUUGGUUUCGGAUGUUGCUCACGAUAAAGGCUCACUCUAAAGGCGCAUGGCACUUUUUGAUGGCAAAUCCUGACCCGAUAAAGCUCCCUGACCCCGAACGUGUCGUAGAACGAUGUGUUGCCUCUGCCUCUCCACAGUUAGUGGUAGGAUACGCAACAUGCUGGACCGAUGCUAGUAGAUGUAGGGGAUCUUUGUCGGUUUUGGAAGUUGCUGACUUAAAUGGCUUAUGUCUCUUAUGGUUGCCUAGACCCUUCGAAGCUCCCUCAACCCGAAACAAGUGUCGUAGAACGAUGUGCUGCCUCUACCUCUCCACAGUUAGUGGUAGGAUACGCAGCAUGCUGGGCCGAUGCAGUAGGCGCAGGGGAGCUUGGCUCGCUCAAUUGCGACAACCGGCCCGGCCGUUGUCUGCCUUCACGGGUGGACGACUGUCGACGCUGGACGUCAAAGAGGACGUGCU
This 732-nucleotide unclassified non-coding RNA is filed under the name Aegialina lapalmae. RNAcentral's name for it is "Trisetaria loeflingiana partial external transcribed spacer". Lineage: Eukaryota; Viridiplantae; Streptophyta; Magnoliopsida; Poales; Poaceae. The record is from RNAcentral.